AAGUCAUCAUGCCCCUUAUGUCCAGGGCUUCACACAUGCUACAAUGGCUGGUACAGAGGGCUGCGAUACCGCGAGGUGGAGCGAAUCCCUUAAAGCCGGUCUCAGUUCGGAUCGCAGUCUGCAACUCGACUGCGUGAAGUCGGAGUCGCUAGUAAUCGCAGAUCAGCAACGCUGCGGUGAAUACGUUCCCGGGCCUUGUACACACCGCCCGUCACGUCAUGAAAGUCGGUAACACCCGAAGC
RNAcentral lists this ribosomal RNA (242 nucleotides) under Amycolatopsis sp. Its description in RNAcentral is "partial 16S ribosomal RNA". It matches the Rfam family "Bacterial small subunit ribosomal RNA", at positions 1187 to 1427 of the family's 1533-position model. The record is from RNAcentral. Lineage: Bacteria; Bacillati; Actinomycetota; Actinomycetes; Pseudonocardiales; Pseudonocardiaceae.